UACGAAGGGGGCUAGCGUUGUUCGGAUUUACUGGGCGUAAAGCGCACGUAGGCGGUUUGUUAAGUCAGGUGUGAAAUCCUGGAGCUCAACUCCAGAACUGCCUUUGAUACUGGCAAUCUUGAGUCCGGAAGAGGUGAGUGGAACUCCUAGUGUAGAGGUGGAAUUCGUAGAUAUUAGGAAGAACACCAGUGGCGAAGGCGGCUCACUGGUCCGGUACUGACGCUGAGGUGCGAAAGCGUGGGGAGCAAACAGG
This 253-nucleotide ribosomal RNA is filed under the name uncultured bacterium. RNAcentral's name for it is "partial 16S ribosomal RNA". It matches the Rfam family "Bacterial small subunit ribosomal RNA", at positions 524 to 776 of the family's 1533-position model. The record is from RNAcentral.